This is a long non-coding RNA of Gossypium raimondii (Peruvian cotton), 608 nucleotides long. RefSeq lists it as uncharacterized. The record is from RefSeq and is a predicted model, not a curated record. NCBI's taxonomy places the organism in Eukaryota, Viridiplantae, Streptophyta, Magnoliopsida, Malvales, Malvaceae. The transcript has 3 exons.
UUUAGAAGCACUUUUAGGGAAAAAAGUCCUUUUCUUCAAAAAGUUUCACCGUUAGAAAAGGAUGAGAAGCUAAAAAUUUCUCCUUUUCUUCAGCUUGAAGUGCUUUUGGCUGGAAAUUGACCAAAUUAACCUGUCGUUUUCUCCCACAAACGUUCUUUCCCUUCCUCUGCUGGUUCUUUGGAACUGUCUUCUCCCACAAACUUGCUUUUGGCUGAAAAGAACAGAAAUUUGAUUUCUCAUUCAAGAUAGUUGCUACGGCUUUGAGGCAACACUCCAGUGGUUAAAAGCUUAAAAGGCACCCAGGAGAAGCCGAUAUUCCUCAACUAGCAAAAGUAGAAGUUGAUCAUCUCUUUUUUUCUUGUUUAAAACAAAGCAGUUCACUCUCUUUCAAGGGUAUUAAGGAAGUGGAAUUAUGAUGAAUGGACGGUAGAACAGUGAGAUCUGGUGCAAAAGAUGAGAAAUAAGCAGCAAAAGGGAUGCCGGGUUUUGACUUGAGAAAUAAGCAGUUCAUUUUGCACUAAACCGUUAGUUGAAUUGAGCUUUUUUUCUGUUAAAAUAAUUAACCGAAUCGAACCAAUUUCAAUUAAUUUUGUCGGCUUUCUAUUGAA